RNAcentral lists this ribosomal RNA (253 nucleotides) under uncultured bacterium. Its description in RNAcentral is "partial 16S ribosomal RNA". It matches the Rfam family "Bacterial small subunit ribosomal RNA", at positions 524 to 776 of the family's 1533-position model. The record is from RNAcentral.
UACGUAGGUGGCGAGCGUUAUCCGGAAUUACUGGGCGUAAAGCGCAAGCAGGCGGCGAUUUAAGUCUGACGUGAAAUCUCCUGGCUUAACUGGGAGGGGACGUUGGAAACUGGAUUGCUUGAGGCGGUGAGAGGGGUGUGGAAUUCCCGGUGUAGUGGUGGAAUGCGUAGAUAUCGGGAGGAACACCAGAGGCGAAAGCGACACCCUGGCACUUGCCUGACGCUGAGAUGCGAAAGCGUGGGGAGCAAACGGG